Molecule: long non-coding RNA, 198 nt
Organism: Hibiscus syriacus
Lineage: Eukaryota; Viridiplantae; Streptophyta; Magnoliopsida; Malvales; Malvaceae
Exons: 2
Source: RefSeq, a predicted model, not a curated record
UAAGAGGUUAUCAUAGAAAAGGUUAUGGGUUUCACUAAAAAUCAUGUAUUUUUGUCAUUGUUUUGCAAUUUUAUAACUGUAGAGUCUUUGCCUCCUCCAUUGGGCGCCACCGCUGAGCAACCCCCGUUCUUCGAUGGAACUACCAGGUUGUAUACUUCUUAUAGUUGCCCUUUUGCGCAGCGUGUUUGGAUCACCAGG